Small nucleolar RNA from Hibiscus syriacus, 107 nucleotides. NCBI's taxonomy places the organism in Eukaryota, Viridiplantae, Streptophyta, Magnoliopsida, Malvales, Malvaceae. The record is from RefSeq and is a predicted model, not a curated record.
AAUCUGUGCAUGGGACAUUUGUGUAAAAGCUCCUUAUAUCGCUCCCAAGCCUCGUACAUGGAUUCAUCAUCUUCCUACUGAAAAGAAGUGAUGUCGUUACGUAAUUU